This 490-nucleotide long non-coding RNA is filed under the name Citrus x clementina. Its description in RNAcentral is "Citrus clementina (C. clementina) long non-coding RNA (CCLE_LNC001347)". The record is from RNAcentral. Lineage: Eukaryota; Viridiplantae; Streptophyta; Magnoliopsida; Sapindales; Rutaceae.
CUGCAUGCAAAUUGUGAAAAAUUAAUGGAUUGUGCUGAUUAUAAUUUUGUUAUGUAACACAAGAUUUGGUCGUGUAAGGUUAUGUAAGAUUCAAGGUUGUGUAUUACACGACCUUCAUGUAUUGCACGAUUACACGACCUUCAUAUAUUGCACGAUUACACGACCUUCAUGUAUUGCACGAUUACACGACCUUCAUGUAUUACACGUUUACACGACCUUCAUGUAUUGCAUGUUUAUACGACCUUCAUGUAUUAUACAAUUACACGAUCUUCUUGUAUUACACAAUUACACGACCUUCAAUUCCACAUUUUGUUUCUUGUCAAUAGAAUCUACACAUUACAUUUAGUUUAAUUAGGCUCACAAUAAAUUGGAAUGGUGCAUAUACCUUUACCUUGUGAAAUGUCAUUAGUUAGAGAGAUUCUUAAUUUCCAAUUAUAAGCCAUGGUAAGUCAUGAUAUGUCUAGUUAUGAGUGGAAAUAUUUUAUCACUG